RNAcentral lists this long non-coding RNA (225 nucleotides) under Mytilus galloprovincialis (Mediterranean mussel). The record is from RNAcentral. Lineage: Eukaryota; Metazoa; Mollusca; Bivalvia; Mytilida; Mytilidae.
AUAUACCGUAUAGCGGGUUAUUUUCGCGGGUGUAAAAUUUCGCGAUUUUCAUUGAAUAAGGUAUACGAAAAAUUUUGGCGGUUAUUAUUUUGGCGGAUUCAACAUUUUUCACAUUACCUUUGCAUGUACACUUUUAAAUUGGCGGAAUUUAUUUUGGCGACUUUGUUCUAUCCGCGAAAAUAAGCGAAAAUUUACACCCCGCGAAAAUAACCCGCUAUACGGUAU